UUUCCGUAGGUGAACCUGCGGAAGGAUCAUUAAAGAGUUUGCGCCCCCCGGGGCCCAACCUCCCACCCUUUGCUGUUGCGAAUCUGUUGCUUCGGCGGGCCCGCUCCCGCGGCCGGGCCUACGUGCCCGGACAGCGCCCGCCGGGGGACCAACCAACGCUUUUUUUCAAACAGUGCCGUCUGAGUUUGACCGAAACAAAUCAAAACUUUCAACAACGGAUCUCUUGGUUCUGGCAUCGAUGAAGAACGCAGC
RNAcentral lists this unclassified non-coding RNA (252 nucleotides) under uncultured fungus. RNAcentral's name for it is "sequence contains ITS1, 5.8S rRNA gene". The stretch from base 204 to 252 matches the Rfam family "5.8S ribosomal RNA", at positions 1 to 49 of the family's 154-position model. Lineage: Eukaryota; Fungi. The record is from RNAcentral.